CAGAAAACGGCUCCGGCCAUUUCUAACCCUUGAUUAUUUUCCUGUUGCUUCGGCGCUGCGGCGCCGAUGCCACCAAACUCAGAAACUUAUGUGUCUGACAAACAUUUAAUAAAUCA
Molecule: unclassified non-coding RNA, 116 nt
Filed under: uncultured fungus
Lineage: Eukaryota; Fungi
Description: sequence contains ITS1
Source: RNAcentral